UGGCGGACGGGUGAGUAACGCGUGGGUAACGUUCCUUGUACUGGGGGACAACAGUUAGAAAUGACUGCUAAUACCGCAUAAGCGCACAGUAUCGCAUGAUACAGUGUGAAAAACUCCGGUGGUACAAGAUGGACCCGCGUCUGAUUAGCUAGUUGGUAAGGUAACGGCUUACCAAGGCGACGAUCAGUAGCCGACCUGAGAGGGUGACCGGCCACAUUGGGACUGAGACACGGCCCAA
RNAcentral lists this ribosomal RNA (238 nucleotides) under uncultured bacterium. RNAcentral describes it as "partial 16S ribosomal RNA". It matches the Rfam family "Bacterial small subunit ribosomal RNA", at positions 96 to 334 of the family's 1533-position model. The record is from RNAcentral.